This is a long non-coding RNA of Vidua chalybeata, 680 nucleotides long. RefSeq lists it as uncharacterized. The transcript has 2 exons. NCBI's taxonomy places the organism in Eukaryota, Metazoa, Chordata, Aves, Passeriformes, Viduidae. The record is from RefSeq and is a predicted model, not a curated record.
AACACUGCAGAGCCAUGCCAGGUGAUAACACCAACACUGCAGGGGCUGGAGGCAGCCCUGUGCAGCUGCAGCAAGCUCCAGAGUGCAGGAUCCUCCCAGGGGCACAGCACCAUGGCAGCAGUGCCAGGACUGGCACAGGACAGGGUCCUGAGCCUGGAACCUGCGGCCAGCGGCACCCAGGGGGCCACAGCCACCACCCAGGGGUCACUGCAGUGCCCAGGGGUUCAUGGCCACCACCCAGGGGUUCAUGGCCACCACCCAGGGGUCACUGUGGCACCCAGGGGUCACUGUACGUGCCCUGCAGAACAGGCAGAGCGUGGGCAGAGCCUUGCAGCCCCCCCCAAAAGCCUGGGCUCCUUCCCAGGCGUGGCUGUAAAUGCAAUGAGCAGGCUGCAGCCUCUGGAACCACCAAAGGACAGAGGAAGGUGCUCCCUCCUCCUGCCUGGCACCAGCAGAGGCACAACUACACAGAGGAGGCGACUUCUGAGCGAGAGCCAAGGGCAAGGGCACAAAGGAAGAUCUGCUGGCAAACCUCUGCGGUUAUUUAUUUGUUCAAGGGCCGAAAGAACACUCAUUUCCAGCUCAGAUGGGCAAACAGGGCAGAGCUGAGCAGUACCACGGCACAGAGGGAUCAUCAAAGCUCUGCCCCUCUGAUCUAUGAUAAACUCAGCCAUUAGAAA